RNAcentral lists this ribosomal RNA (1588 nucleotides) under metagenome. Its description in RNAcentral is "bacterial LSU rRNA". It matches the Rfam family "Bacterial large subunit ribosomal RNA", at positions 1315 to 2925 of the family's 2925-position model. The record is from RNAcentral.
AGGAAGGUGGGAAUCCUUCCGGCCGAAUAUCUAAGGUUUCCAGAGUAAAGCUGAUCUGCUCUGGGUAAGUCGGGGCCUAAGGCGAGGUCGAAAGACGUAGUCGAUGGAUAACAGGUUGAAAUUCCUGUACUAUCCUGUAACAGAACUGUGGGGACACAGGCAGAGAGCGUGAGCCGGGAAUGGAAAGACCGGUACAAGCGAGGUAGGAGAAGAGUUGGCAGAUCCGCUCUUUAAUCUGAAGACGUGAUGUGGACUGAAAAUAAGUAGGGAAGCACGUGAGCUGACUGUCAAGAAAAGCCGCUAUUGUUUGCAGGAUACCCGUACCGUAAACCGACACAGGUGGAUGAGGAGAGAAUCCUAAGGCCGACGGGAGAAGCAUUGUUAAGGAACUCGGCAAAAUGACUCCGUAACUUCGGGAGAAGGAGUGCCAGUAAGAUGGCCGCAGAGAAUUGGCCCAAGCAACUGUUUAGCAAAAACACAGGUCUAUGCAAAACCGAAAGGUGAGGUAUAUGGGCUGACGCCUGCCCGGUGCUGGAAGGUUAAGGGGAGAGGUUAGCGCAAGCGAAGCUUUGAACUUAAGCCCUAGUAAACGGCGGCCGUAACAAUAACGGUCCUAAGGUAGCGAAAUUCCUUGUCGGGUAAGUUCCGACCCGCACGAAAGGCGUAAUGAUUUGGGCACUGUCUCAACAAUGCACCCGGUGAAAUUGAAAUACCAGUGAAGAUGCUGGUUACCUGCGCCAGGACGGAAAGACCCCAUGGAGCUUUACUCCAGCUUGAUACUGGGAUUCGGUAUUGCAUGUACAGGAUAGGUGGGAGGCUAGGAAAUGGUAACGCCAGUUGCCAUGGAGCCAAUGUUGGGAUACCACCCUUGCAGUACUGGGUUUCUAACCAGCAGCCGUGAUCCGGCUGGGGGACAAUGUCAGGUGGGGAGUUUGACUGGGGCGGUCGCCUCCGAAAGGGUAUCGGAGGCGCUCAAAGGUUCCCUCAGAAUGGUUGGAAACCAUUCGAAGAGUGCAAAGGCAGAAGGGAGCUUGACUGCGACACCGACGGGUGGAGCAGGUACGAAAGUAGGACUUAGUGAUCCGGUGGUAUAAAGUGGGAUUGCCAUCGCUCAACGGAUAAAAGCUACCCUGGGAUAACAGGCUUAUCACUCCCGAGAGUUCACAUCGACGGAGUGGUUUGGCACCUCGAUGUCGGCUCAUCGCAUCCUGGGGCUGAAGUAGGUCCCAAGGGUUGGGCUGUUCGCCCAUUAAAGCGGUACGCGAGCUGGGUUCAGAACGUCGUGAGACAGUUCGGUCCCUAUCCGGCGUGGGCGUAAGAUAUUUGAGAGGAGCUGUCCUUAGUACGAGAGGACCGGGAUGGACUGGCCGCUGGUGUAUCUGUUGUCUUACCAAAGGCAUAGCAGAGUAGCCAAGCCGGGAAGGGAUAAACGCUGAAGGCAUCUAAGCGUGAAGCCCCCCUCAAGAUGAGAUAUCUCAUAACGUCAAGUUAGUAAGACCCCUUGAAGACGACGAGGUAGAUAGGGCAGAGGUGGAAGUGUGGUAACACAUGGAGCUGACUGUUACUAAUAGGUCGAGGGCAUAACCAA